ACCGCCUAUUACAACAUCCAUAAUCAGUAACUGUCUGUCAUCUGCUGCUUAAUCCUACAUUGCUGGAAAACAGAAGACAAGAUUUUAAAUUCUCGUGCUGAAAUUGUUUGUAGUCAUAUACAGUAAAAGACAUUUCAGAGAUCUCAGCUCUACCCUGAAAUAUGGAAUUCUGAAAGAAAGUUUUGCCUAAGUAUAUUAGAGAAAGAGAAAUACUGAACUACAAUACUGAUGAAGCCAUGCAACAGUUGGCUGUUCUGGAUUUAAUACAAUCUUUUUCUGGUGAAAACUGAGGGAGGAAAAGUGUUCAGUUCAUCUCAAUGUGAAACAGAAAAAUUAUGGAACUUGGAAGCAUUCACUGUGUCUUGCCACACAGAAAAAUUUUGCCUUGAUUUCUUAUCUAUAGUCAUAAACAAGUGCAUUCGUAGUUUCGGUUACUGAAUCAGUGAGGAGUCUUCUUCUUAGUUCCGAAACUAAAAUCAAGGCGGUAUUGCCAAUAACUCAUUAAAAUUUAACAAGUAUACUAUCACUGAAUAUCACACAAAAAUGCUUUGUGGUUUGUAAACACUGAGACCCUAAGUUUAGUUAAGAUUACUGUCUUUUGCAGAUGCUGUUUGACGCACGGAAACAGACUCUAUAACCCGCGUAAGGUUAUAAAGCAGUUAUCUAUAAAAGCAUUUCCGUCCAGCUCCAUACCCAUGGUGUUUCCAGUACGAAGUCUGUGACCCAUCUAUUAUCGUCCUUUGCCUGUGCACCACAUCCAGUGUCUCAGCUUCUCAGCGUUUCUGCCACCAUACUAGGACUGUAUUUCUCUUCAUCAUUGUCUUAGAGACAUAAAUACCUAGUUCUAUGUGGAAUAAUGUCUUAUUACCAUGCACAACCCUUCUGAAGUUAACUCAUGCACUUUUUUUAAUUUGAAGUAGAAAAAUAAUUUUGAAUUGACACAAUUUCAUUUUCAUUUGUUUUAGUCAAUGAAAUCUUUCUUCCUUUAACUGGCUUUUAUCAGUUAUUCAUUAGUGACAUAUAUUCCAUCAAUAAAUCUUGGCCAAGCAUAUUCAAUUCUCACAUGCUACUAUUCUCAAAAUAACAGUUUGUAGGAGCAAUGAAUAAAGCUCAGAAGAAAUCACAGUGCCUUCAUUUCACAGUAGUAUUUCAUGUAUCUACAGUUCUCAAAAUAAUAAAAAUGAGAACAUAGUAAUUUUUACACUUUUUAUGGUAAAAGGUAUAUGAACUGCAAGAACUAUGCUUAUAUAGAUGAUGGUGUCAUUAUAUAUUAUGGUACUAUGUUACUCCUGUUUUUUCAGUGCAACUUCCUGGGUCAUUUCCAUCAACUUUUUUUUUUUUUUUUUCUGGUUUGUUAGAAUAAGUGCAGGAAUCUUUUCUUUCUUUUCUUUUUAGAGUAAUGCAAUAAGAAGUAUCAUAGUCUCUCACAGUCUUGAUAGCUGUACAGUUAUCCAUUUAGCUCUACUUUACUCAUGGCAGCUUUGGAUUUUCACUGUCCCCUUUUUCAGAUUCAGCUAGCACAUUCAGAGUUUUGUAAACAUUGAUAUUAAUGUAUAUCUUGUUAUGAUUUCAUUUUAUGCUUUUUGCUGUUUCCUGGGCUAUCAUAAAUCCAGUGAAAAUUGUUUUAUAGUCAUCUUUCACUAUCUGCAGAACUCUGUUUAGUGGGUUUGAAUAAUGGCAAGAUUUUAUUUCUUUGGCCACCUACAUGGUAUUUUAAGAGAUAAACUCUCUAUUCUUACCUUUAAUUUGUUAACAGGAAAGGCAGUGGAUCUCAAUAGGUAAAGAAACAUUCUUCUUUUCUAAACCAAUCUCACUUUAAUUGCAUUUACCAUAAUACUCAUCUGGGGACCUUUCAGUUUUCUUUGUUUCAUUGCAUCUAGGAUAUAGAAAGCAGUUUGAUUCAACACUUCGGUAUUAUAUACUCAUUAAGUAAAUUAAAAAUAUAGUUGGAUGAAAAAUCACUAUUCUCCCUCCUUGACAUAUUGGAUUUUCUUAUUCUGACAAAAACAAGUGAAUACUUGUUUGUCCUGCAGAGCUGAACAAGCUGCAGACUAGAGAGGCAUAAAUUAUUUUGUUUUCAUGAAUCAUUAGCAAAAUUGGCAGCCUCAAUCUUUCUCAUGAAUCUUUUUAAUUGGCAAGAUACCCCCAUUUUAAUUAGCAUAUGCAUAAUAACAUUAAUCCAUAUGUCUCCUGCUCUUUAGCUUAUUUUGUUAGAAGCAGGGUACUAUUCUAUAUAUCUGUCUUGAUGGUUUCUCUGCUCCUAAAUGGUUUUAUCACUCAUCAAUUCAUCUAAAAUUCCCUGAAGAUUAUUGCUUAUUGGAUUUUUAUAUAUUUAUUCUACCACUUAAUUCUAGUAGAUAGGCUUAAACAGAGGAAGAGAUGGCUUUAAUGAUAUCUGCCAACCUUAUUAUGUAAGAUUCCAUUUUUAUAGCAAGAAACAAUAGCAUGCAGCAAUUUACAGUGAUUUUUGAGUCUUUUCUGUAAGAUCCUCAGAAGAAAAAAAGACACAAAAUGCACAAAAGUUAAAAAACUGGAAGAAUCUGAUUGUCUUUUGUUUUGAACAGAAAAAGGACAGUGAACGAGAAUUUCUGAACAUGUAAGAAACAUAACCAUUUCAAAAUGUUAAAAGAAAAAAAAACAUAGUAGAAAACAGAACAAAUUCUUUCUAAAGGAAAAAAGCCAACAAAACAUCUACGCACACAGUCCUCCUUUCAGGACAAGAUAUUAAAUUCACUGACUGAAAGGAUUUAUUAGUUUUUGUGUGGAGUACAGUAAUUGCAAAAUUUCGUAGACUAGUGUUUGUUCCUAGAACAACAUAGUCUAUGGCAAAGCCAGUUAUGUUUCACAUCAUUCUCAUACUUCAUGUUGCUCUAGAAUGGAAAAUGAGGGUAAUGAAAGAAGGAAACGCAAUUCUAGAGGAGCUAUGAAUAUACAGUUCAGCUAUUGAAGAACAGAAUAGUCCUGAAUAUUCUCUGUAAAUAUUACAACAAAAGUAUUUGCAAUUAAAAAAACCCAAAAACUAAAGGGAAGGGGAAAGAUUGUAUAUUGUUAAGAUAGCUACGUUCCUAGUAUUAAGAAAUGUAUUCAAAUACAGUUGAUUCAGAAUGCUGAGUGUUGCACUUGGUAUCAUCUCUGGGCAUCUGUUCUUGUUGCAGAGAGGCAACAUAAAAAAAGCAGCAGAUCAUUUUAAAUGGAAAAAAAAUACUCUGUAGUAGAAAAGACAAAUGCAGUAAAAAGUGUUGUUUUAAAAAUAGGUGAAAAAUAUAUGUCUAUGAUCAAAGGAGAGAGUAGAACCUCCCAAAGCACAAUUAAUAUUACUUAUUUUCUAUUCCAAUUUUAGGUAACAAUUUAUCUUACCAAUUCAUCUAUUAUCUUAAAAGCAGUCUAAAUUAUUGCCUUUUAAAAGAUAUUAGAUGGUUUAUUUAGGUGGUUAGGCAAUAUAAAUUACACUAAAAAUCUCAAGAGUUUCCACUUACCCUAAUAAAUAUGAGGUUAGAACUCUCAGUUGUCCAGGGGCAAUAACACAACAAAAGAAAGCCUGAUCUUAUUCACUUUAAAAGUACCAAUCAACUACAAUAAGAAGCAAGGUGGAGAGAAUGGAAAAGGAGUUAAAGGGUAAGAGGAAGUUGAAAUACCAGAUCAAGGAUCUUCAGGUAUAGCAUGCACUGCAAAAUUUUACUACUAUUUAAAACUACUGGAUAAUAAAAUGAUAUCACAUAAAGUCCUAUACAGAAAAUAUCAAAGAGAUUUCUUUAGUACCAAUGUAAAGAUGUAUAUUUCUUUGAUGUUUCUGUGCCAUGGCAGAGAACAGCAAAAAAAGUAAUGUGAUCAUUUUACCAGUUUAAUAGUAGAUCAGAUGACUCUUUUGUCAAUAAAAGGAGGAUUAGUUCAGGCAGAAGUAUCAGAAACAUUUGUACUAGUUGCUGCAUAAAAAGAGGCAGAAGGCAUAAAAAAGACCAUGAGCAGACAUUUAAUAUGAUUAUGUGACCAUUUUCCAGUCAUUUGAGUAUUGGGAUUUUGUUUUGUUUUUGUAGCACAAAGAACAGUUUAGUGAGGUUACUGUGGAAGACAACUGUUUUUUUGGCUCACUUCAUGAGGCCUUUUUGGUGGUAAGACCCUAACUGACAACUGUGAAUUAUCUAGGGGGGUGAGCGGUGGGUGUCACCAUGCCACAGUACUUCAGUUUAUGAUUGUAAAGAUAAGCAGAAGGGGGACAAGCAGACUUUUUCGGAGGUGUGGCUGGAAGGAGCUGACGGCUGCAAAAGGCGAUAAUGCUUGUGCAUGGCAACGAAGGCACCACUCCCUGCUGCCUUAUCUGUUGGGCCAGAAACAGAAGAAAAAGAAGGAAAAAACUGUGAAACGGGGGAUAAAAGGUACCCACUAAACUAAGUUCUUUGGAGGAGAAGAACUUCCAAAGAAAAAAAACCUUUGAUGGAGGAAUUCCCUAACAAAAAAAAAAAACCUCUUAGGAAAGGACCCCGCGGGGCCUGCUUGCUCUAAAACUUCCUGGCUUUCUCCCAUCCCCCGCGGUGAUUGGAUGAGUUCCUGAGAUCAACAGAGGCGCUACGAACAACGCUGGAGCCACGGUGGUGAAACUCUCUCUCUUGCUUUCUGCAAGGACUCCUUGUUUUUAUUUUCUUAUCCCUUUUCAAUUGCCCGCCUUCCCUUCCCCGUCUCCCUAAGCAACUAGGAUUUGUAAUAAUCUGAUCAGGCUAACAUUUGAUCCAUUGUGUUUUAAUCUCAUCGUCAGGUAUGCAUAUAUGAAAAGAACCUCCUCUCCCUCCUAUAAAUUGGAUCGAGACAGUUACACAAUAGUCUGCAUUAAAUUGGUAGGAGAAAAUCCCUUCUAAAGCUUGAACAUGCAUACUUGAUUUAAAGAGAGGAAACAGAUGUCGGGAGUGUCUGUUUUAUCCACACUCAUUCUAAGACACAAUCUAUGAGGAAAGCAUUGUAAUGUAUUGCAACCUUUUGCAUAUUUAAUUUCACAGCAUAUUUGGGAGAUGAAAUUUAGGUGUGCACAAAUAACACUAGUGUCUGAGGACUAGGGUGGGGCAUCUUCAUACAGUUUCUCACUCAAAUAAAAUUCAUUCCUUUUCUAAAACUAAUAUUGUUUGAGUUUUCUUAAAAACAUAUUGUCUGUCACCCUUAAUGCAACUGUAAGUCUUUCUAAUACUGGAAGAAUGUAUAAUGUAUGGAAUCAUAAAAACAAAAAUUCUGGGAAAAUGUGUUAUGCUUUGUACAUUCUUACAAUAAAAUCAAAACUUAGUUUUUGUAGA
Long non-coding RNA from Numida meleagris (helmeted guineafowl), 5276 nucleotides. RefSeq lists it as uncharacterized. Lineage: Eukaryota; Metazoa; Chordata; Aves; Galliformes; Numididae. The record is from RefSeq and is a predicted model, not a curated record. The transcript is spliced from 2 exons.